This 472-nucleotide non-coding RNA is filed under the name Naegleria gruberi. Its description in RNAcentral is "Eukaryotic large subunit ribosomal RNA". It matches the Rfam family "Eukaryotic large subunit ribosomal RNA", at positions 2865 to 3401 of the family's 3401-position model. The record is from Rfam by way of RNAcentral. Lineage: Eukaryota; Heterolobosea; Eutetramitea; Acrasida; Naegleriidae.
GCUUUUUGAUCCUUCGAUGUCGGCUCUUCCUAUCAUUGCGAAGCAGAAUUCGCAAAGUGUUGGAUUGUUCACCCACUAACAGGGAACGUGAGCUGGGUUUAGACCGUCGUGAGACAGGUUAGUUUUACCCUACUAACCAAUUUCGGUGCCAGUAGUAAAUCUUAGUACGAGAGGAACAGCUUUGCCAUGCAUUUAGUUGCAGGUCCGUUUGAAAUGAUGUGGCUUUUCGCCACGCAUGUAGAUGUAUAACUGAAAGCCUCUAAGUUAUGAGUCUUACUGUGAUGCUGAGUUAGGUUCAGUCCCACUGAGUAAACAUAAAGAUUAUCUCUAUCUAGUGGUAGCCAAAAGGGAUUGGACCGUAUCAAAUAAGGAGACCACUUAUGACCCCUCUUUGAAGGGACCUACUGUCGUACCUGGGCGAGACAGGGCUUCUUGUCGACUCACUGACGCUCGUAAAGUCCCGAACCUGAUA